Long non-coding RNA from Triticum aestivum (bread wheat), 1016 nucleotides. RefSeq lists it as uncharacterized. The transcript is spliced from 5 exons. The record is from RefSeq and is a predicted model, not a curated record. Lineage: Eukaryota; Viridiplantae; Streptophyta; Magnoliopsida; Poales; Poaceae.
CCUGAAGUUGUUGACCUGGAACAAGAGGGUAAGGUGGAUGUGAGAACGGAAGCGCACGCCGUGGUGCAGGAUGUCGUGGUGUCCGAAGCACAUGAGGUGCCGGAACCAGAGGUGAAGAGUGAGGAGGUGGUGGUCCGAGACACAACCAAGGUGCAUCCUGCGCAUCAACCAGAGACGAAGGCCGAUGAGGUGCUGGUCAGGGAUACGGACACGGCUGUUGUGGUGCAGGAAAUGGAAGCAAAGGGUGAGGUGUCACGGUCUCGUGAGGCAGCUGGUGCGCAGACUACAGAGGCAGUGGCGGUGGUUGUUGCUUAGAUGUCUUUGCUGGUUCAGAGAGAUAGAUGGAGUAUGAUGAUUGCAUUAAGGAUUGUGAUACGGUUGUUGAGAGGGGAAGAGAACUUCAUGCUAACUGUGCUGACUUCAAGAUGGUCUCAAGGGCACUGGCAAGGAAAGCAACUGCUCUUGUCAAACUUGCCAAGUCUUCCAAAGACUACGAUGUUGCCAUUGAUUCCAGAAGGCUCUAACUGAGCAUCAAACCCAGGUACCCUGAAAAGACUAAAUGAUGCUAAACGAGCAAAGAAGGAGCUCAAGCAACAAGAGUAUUAUGAUCCAUAAAAAGCUGAUGAGGAGCGAGAGAAAGCAAAAAUACCCAGAAGCAGUGAAGCAUUACACUAAAGCGCUCAGGAGAAACCUGAAGGAUCCAAAGUUAAUGAUGAAGGAUGCAGCUGAGAGAUACCUUUCUUAAACAUACCAAAUCUCAUACAGAGCACAGCAUGGUCAUGUAGUUCGAUAACAACAUUACUUGUUUUUCCCUGCUGCCGAAUAUGUUGUCAUGUGUUGUAAAUUUUCAACAAGUGCAGUGAGAAGUCUUAGAAGAUCAGUGGACAUGUAGUCUUAUUUAUGACGUCCAAAUUUCAUCAUACAAAAAGAAAUACUCAGUGUAACCAUAUUUCUGACAUUUGCAAAAAAUAGUUAAAAAAUAUUGCAUAAUGGCAUGUGGAGCAGCUUAUAUUUCA